AACCGGCAGAGUUUGAUCCUGGCUCAGGACGAACGCUGGCGGCGUGCUUAACACAUGCAAGUCGAACGAUGAACCUCUUCGGAGGGGAUUAGUGGCGAACGGGUGAGUAACACGUGGGCAAUCUGCCCUGCACUCUGGGACAAGCCCUGGAAACGGGGUCUAAUACCGGAUACGACCAUCUCGGGCAUCCGAUGGUGGUGGAAAGCUCCGGCGGUGCAGGAUGAGCCCGCGGCCUAUCAGCUUGUUGGUGGGGUGAUGGCCUACCAAGGCGACGACGGGUAGCCGGCCUGAGAGGGCGACCGGCCACACUGGGACUGAGACACGGCCCAGACUCCUACGGGAGGCAGCAGUGGGGAAUAUUGCACAAUGGGCGGAAGCCUGAUGCAGCGACGCCGCGUGAGGGAUGACGGCCUUCGGGUUGUAAACCUCUUUCAGCAGGGAAGAAGCGCGAGUGACGGUACCUGCAGAAGAAGCACCGGCUAACUACGUGCCAGCAGCCGCGGUAAUACGUAGGGUGCGAGCGUUGUCCGGAAUUAUUGGGCGUAAAGAGCUCGUAGGCGGCUUGUCGCGUCGGAUGUGAAAGCCCGGGGCUUAACCCCGGGUCUGCAUUCGAUACGGGCAGGCUAGAGUUCGGUAGGGGAGGUCGGAAUUCCUGGUGUAGCGGUGAAAUGCGCAGAUAUCAGGAGGAACACCGGUGGCGAAGGCGGAUCUCUGGGCCGAUACUGACGCUGAGGAGCGAAAGCGUGGGGAGCGAACAGGAUUAGAUACCCUGGUAGUCCACGCCGUAAACGUUGGGAACUAGGUGUGGGCGACAUUCCACGUCGUCCGUGCCGCAGCUAACGCAUUAAGUUCCCCGCCUGGGUAGUACGGCCGCAAGGCUAAAACUCAAGGAAUUGACGGGGGCCCGCACAAGCGGCGGAGCAUGUGGCUUAUUCGACGCAACGCGAAGAACCUUACCAAGGCUUGACAUACACCGGAAAGCCGUAGAGAUACGGUCCCCCUUGUGGUCGUGUACAGGUGGUGCAUGCUGUCGUCAGCUCGUGUCGUGAGAUGUGGUUAGUCCCGCACGAGCGCACCCUUGUUCUGUGUUGCAGCAUGCUUUCGGGUGAUGGGGACUCACAGAAACUGCCGGGUCAA
RNAcentral lists this ribosomal RNA (1137 nucleotides) under Streptomyces sp. ZZY-2013. RNAcentral's name for it is "bacterial SSU rRNA". It matches the Rfam family "Bacterial small subunit ribosomal RNA", at positions 1 to 1160 of the family's 1533-position model. Lineage: Bacteria; Bacillati; Actinomycetota; Actinomycetes; Kitasatosporales; Streptomycetaceae. The record is from RNAcentral.